This is a long non-coding RNA of Sander lucioperca (pikeperch), 319 nucleotides long. RefSeq lists it as uncharacterized. The transcript is spliced from 3 exons. The record is from RefSeq and is a predicted model, not a curated record. Lineage: Eukaryota; Metazoa; Chordata; Actinopteri; Perciformes; Percidae.
UUGGAUAUUCGACACAUUCGAAAAAUCUAUAAUGCAGCUUGACCUUCCAAUAUAAAACCAACUUUACCACGGUCUGUGACAGCUCGCUGGCUGCGCAGGAAGCUACAGACACUGUUUUUGACGUGAUUAAACAUAAUAUUUUGAUUGAACGGGUUGCAAAAAUCUGCAUAUAAUUAGGAAAGUGAGGACUGCGUUUAUAAUGUGAUCUAACAUAAUAUUUGACGGAGCCCAGGGCCCCUUAGAUGUCCUGUGCCCCUGGGCAAGUGACCAGUUGCCCUAAUGGUUAAUCCGGCUCUGCAUUAAUUACUUGUAUAUUUAU